Anguilla anguilla (European eel) is the source of this 345-nucleotide long non-coding RNA. RefSeq lists it as uncharacterized. The transcript is spliced from 2 exons. NCBI's taxonomy places the organism in Eukaryota, Metazoa, Chordata, Actinopteri, Anguilliformes, Anguillidae. The record is from RefSeq and is a predicted model, not a curated record.
CCCCCCCUCCCCUCCACCGCAGCAACAGGAGUACAAAACGGAAAACUCUUUAUCUGAAACUCUUAUCGUGGAAUAUGUUAAGAAAGCCUAAUCUAUCCAUCUGUCCCACCUAACAAGCUGAGAGAGAGGAGAGAGAAAGAGGGAGAGAAAGAACGAGAGAGAGACGUGGGGCACUGCAUGCAAUAACAAGGGCUUCUGCUGGGAAGCGGUGAACAGGAGGCUGGCUGGAGGAGCGGACUUACCCCCGUCCAAAAAACUUCGGCCCAGUGCAGGCAGUGACGAAGAGCCCAGAUGCACCCGAGCCCAGGCAGACGCAUCGUUCCCCUCCUGCGAACACACCAAAAG